CUGAGCCUUGAGACUCUUUGUCAGAAUCACACUUGUUAAUCAAACAAGUGUUUCUAGGCCACACAUGGUUCCCCUCAUGGAGCACCUCAUUAGUCUGCUUUCUGCUGCUAUGACAAAAUACCUGAGGAUGGAUACUUUGCAAAGAAAAAAAGGGUUAUUAACUCAUAGUUCUGGAGGUUCAAGAGCAUGGUGGUCGUGGCUUUGUGGGGGGCUUCUUGUCUUCAUCACAACACGGGUGUCAUCAUGCUGGGAGUGUGCAUGAGGGAGAGACCACAUCACAUGAAAAGACAGGAAGCCAGAGAUUAGGGAAGGGCCAGGCUAGCUCUCUUACAAAGACUUAUUUUCAUGGGAACCAGCUUGCUCUGUGAGAUCAGGAACCAUGUCUUCCACCAGCAACUCCCUCAAUGUCCUAAUUUCUCCCACUCAACCCUUUCCUAGCUCUCCAGCCUCGGUGAAAGCUGCACAAUUCUAACAUCAUGAAGUUGACUGUGCUGCCAAAAAUUUUGCCUUCCAGAGAUGCACACAAGGAGAACGCUGUGUUCAGAUAAAGACCAAGAUCUGCCAAGACUUCUUCAAAGCAAGGAUGUCACGAAACAUUGUCAGCAACCACCAGAAGCUAGGAGGCAGGACAAAGAUCUUCCCUUACCACCCUCAGGAGGAACUAGCCCUGCCAAUGCCCCACUUCAGGCUUCUGGCUUCCAGACUGUGAGAC
Molecule: long non-coding RNA, 712 nt
Filed under: Heterocephalus glaber (naked mole-rat)
Lineage: Eukaryota; Metazoa; Chordata; Mammalia; Rodentia; Bathyergidae
Description: lncRNA (ENSHGLG00100044331.1)
Source: RNAcentral